AUAACCUUUAAAUGAGUCCAGAGAGGCUUGAAAGGUCGGACAGAGUGAAACAGCAGGUUCUCCUGUGAUUUUUUGUGCGACCUUGCCAUAUGGUGAGGUUUUUUUGAU
This 108-nucleotide small RNA is filed under the name Streptococcus thermophilus. RNAcentral's name for it is "PyrR". It matches the Rfam family "PyrR binding site". From Rfam's summary of the family: This family represents the PyrR binding site and terminator structure. This RNA structure is found upstream of a variety of genes involved in pyrimidine biosynthesis and transport. The record is from RNAcentral. Lineage: Bacteria; Bacillati; Bacillota; Bacilli; Lactobacillales; Streptococcaceae.